Molecule: non-coding RNA, 26 nt
Filed under: Homo sapiens (human)
Lineage: Eukaryota; Metazoa; Chordata; Mammalia; Primates; Hominidae
Source: RNAcentral
UCCAUGCUUAGGAACCACUACAAAUG